Non-coding RNA from Callorhinus ursinus (northern fur seal), 1345 nucleotides. NCBI's taxonomy places the organism in Eukaryota, Metazoa, Chordata, Mammalia, Carnivora, Otariidae. The record is from RefSeq and is a predicted model, not a curated record.
AAUUAAGAAACUGGUGUUCACCAGAGGUACCUUCUCACAGGCAAAGCCAAGCUUUCCUGCUGGCCCCUCAGAACUCAAACCCACUCAUGUGGAAACCCGCUCCCGCGUCUGCAAGCCCCUCUGUGGUAUAGCUGAACACUGAUGGGACCCCAAUGACCACCUGCUUUUGUGUGAGACGUUCCUUGGAAUUCAACUCAAGAUACAACAUCUGAUUCCCAGGAACCACUUCAACGUCUUGACAAUAGAUGUGAAACAUGUGGUUAAAAUGGAGAAUGUCACAAUUCUAAUAUGUGUACGACCUCGGAGGCCAACCGUGGCGUUUUUGAUCAGAUCCCCGGUUUUAAUCAGCUUUUCUCUGCAAAGCUGAGCUCCUCGGCCAGCACCAAAUGCCGGGGACGGGCUGUGCUGCCCAGGAGCGGGGCUCUGCCAGCGCACAGGCCCAGGUUCAAAUGCCCUGGGGUGGGAGACAGGGGGCUCCCCUGCCCCGUGUGCCCAGUGGGGGCUUCCUGGCCUCGUGAGGCUGCUGUGAGGGACAGUGGGAGCCGAAGGGAGCAGGGGGGGGCUUUGCUUCUAAAGGAGGCCACUCAAACAUUUUCGUGGCUCAAUUCUUCACUUUCGUUUUCUAAAUCAAGAACUUUUGCUAAAGAACUUUGUGAGUGAUAAGCCACUUAUGUUAUCAAGCAUGUAUUUAAAUCAGCUCCACCCGUCAUUAAGGACAGGCCAUAGUUAAUCUAAACACAUAAUUUGGAAAACAGAUGUGUAUAUACAUACCGCAUAAUUCAUUCUUGUCUUGGUUUUGUAGAAAUUUCACAUCGUACUCUCGGUGAGUGUAAGUUUCUCUUACACUGGAGGACGAUGAUAAAAUUACGAUUACUAACACCAUCCUGAGUGCCUCACUGUCCCCCCCCUCUGCCCAGGGCCGGCCCGUCGGCUCCAGCAGCGGGCUCAGAUGCAGCCACAGGCUGCCAGAGACAUCAACGCUGCUGGGAUUCAGUCAACUGUGGAGAAGCUGGUAGAGCAGGAACACGUGUUGGGAAGUUCUCCCUACAAGGCUUUUACGACCUUAAUAUACCAAGGAACUGGCGGCCUGUUGCAGAACCAGGAGAGCGGAUUAAAACCAAAUGAGCCCCAAGAGGGCGGUGGCCGGGGGCCCCUGACGGUGGUGCAGCCUGCAAGGCAGAGUUCGUGGCCCAGGUUGUGGCCACCUUACCGUCCCACUGACGUGCUCCUUUCUAAAGCGGGGCGGGGGGUAGCAGCGUCCUGCACACAGUGGGUGUGCAAGCAUUUGCUGAACGAACGGAAAUAUUCUAACGGGAAACGGACACCAGGCACCCGCAGAGAGACA